RNAcentral lists this ribosomal RNA (252 nucleotides) under uncultured bacterium. RNAcentral's name for it is "partial 16S ribosomal RNA". It matches the Rfam family "Bacterial small subunit ribosomal RNA", at positions 524 to 776 of the family's 1533-position model. The record is from RNAcentral.
GACGAACCGUACGAACGUUAUUCGGAAUCACUGGGCGUAAAGGGCGCGUAGGCGGCGUUUUAAGUCGGGGGUGAAAGCCUGUGGCUCAACCACAGAAUGGCCUCGAUACUGGGACGCUUGAGUAUGGUAGAGGUUGGUGGAACUGCGAGUGUAGAGGUGAAAUUCGUAGAUAUUCGCAAGAACACCGGUGGCGAAGGCGGCCAACUGGACCAUUACUGACGCUGAGGCGCGAAAGCGUGGGGAGCAAACAGG